This is a long non-coding RNA of Ictalurus punctatus (channel catfish), 631 nucleotides long. RefSeq lists it as uncharacterized. The record is from RefSeq and is a predicted model, not a curated record. Lineage: Eukaryota; Metazoa; Chordata; Actinopteri; Siluriformes; Ictaluridae. The transcript is spliced from 2 exons.
AUCGCGUUUCCGCCGUGUUUAGUCCGGUACCACUGCGAGGUUAUCAAUAGGAAAACCCAUCUGUGUCCAAUUAAGGCAAGUAUGGGCUCACUCCCAUAAAUGACACAAACCUCCCUCAUUACGACCUGUUUUAUUGAAAAAGCUAAAAGUCAAACUAAACGGGGGUAAAGAAGUGUAACAGAAUACACUGGACAUAUGGGUCUCUGUUGGUUUGAUUAAAGAAGACCUUCAUUAUCUUCUUUUCAUUACUGUCACGUGAUGAAGGAAUCAUCCAGAAAACCUGGCAUGAAAGACAAACCAAGUCAAAUAGGUUGUUUCAAGAGUGCAGAUGAGACAACUUAUCUAGCCUCAUAUAUCAAGAUCGCGACGUUGCAACAGGAUCUCAAUGGGACUACGAGGGAAAGCGACCCCUUUACAAGCUCUUCGGGAAGAUCUUGCACGCAUUUAUUCACUUCUGCUCCUCCAUAUUGCUGGAUCCACCCCCCUUAACUCAACGGAUCACGGUCAUGGUGGCUUUUUUCGCCAAAAAAAAUCACGUGCAGAAAUUCACCUCGAACACGCAAAGCAUGCGAGUGGGUCGAUCUUCACCUGCCACGCUUUUAAAGGCAGAAAUAAACGGUGUUCCAGUUUG